Molecule: ribosomal RNA, 458 nt
Filed under: uncultured bacterium
Lineage: Bacteria
Description: partial 16S ribosomal RNA
Rfam family: Bacterial small subunit ribosomal RNA
Source: RNAcentral
CCUACGGGUGGCAGCAGUGGGGAAUAUUGCACAAUGGGGGAAACCCUGAUGCAGCGACGCCGCGUGAGUGAAGAAGCGUUUCGGCGCGUAAAGCUCUGUCAGCGGGGAAGAAACACGGUUCGCGAGAGCCGCAGACGGUACCCGACCAAGAAGCCCCGGCUAACUACGUGCCAGCAGCCGCGGUAAUACGUAGGGGGCAUGCGUUAUCCGGAGUUACUGGGUGGAAAGGGGGCGUAGACGGCGAGACAAGACUGGAGUGAAAGGCCGGGGCCAAACCCCGGGACUGCUCUGGAAACUGCCUGGCUGGAGUACAGGAGAGGUAAGUGGAAUUCCUAGUGUAGCGGUGAAAUGCGUAGAUAUUAGGAGGAACACCAGUGGCGAAGGCGGCCUGCUGGACUGUAACUGACGUUGAGGCGCGAAAGCGUGGGGAGCAAACAGGAUUAGAUACCCGAGUAGUC